Centruroides sculpturatus (bark scorpion) is the source of this 549-nucleotide long non-coding RNA. RefSeq lists it as uncharacterized. The record is from RefSeq and is a predicted model, not a curated record. The transcript has 4 exons. NCBI's taxonomy places the organism in Eukaryota, Metazoa, Arthropoda, Arachnida, Scorpiones, Buthidae.
GUGAUUUUUGCAGGGUAUAUGCUGAUCUGUUAUAUGCAACUAUUGAUUAUUCUUGCAAAAUUAAAAUAUUUCAUAUUUUCAUAUAUAUUUGUAUAUUGUAACAGAUAUAACAGGUCUUGAUAUCAUACUUUGCUCACCUCCAAAAUGUGAUGCACCCUGUCACAUUCAAACUAAUAAUGUUCCUGGUUCUUGUCCUGAAUGUGUUUGUCCCGAUAUAACAGAUCAAAGUUUCAAGCACUGUGCAACUCGAAAAUGCAAUCCUCUGUGUCAUGUCCAAACUGAUGUUGCUCCCGGUGAAUGCCCCAGAUGUGUUUGUCCUGAUAUAACAGAUCCUAAUUUCAAGCAUUGUUCACCACCAAGAUGUGAUGCACCUUGUCAUGUCCAAACUGAUGUUGCUCCUGGUGAAUGUCCAGGAUGUGUUUGUCCUGUAGGUGGUUUGAUGACAGAUCCUAAUUUCAAACAUUGUUCAUCUCCAAACUGCAAUUCUCCAUGUCAUAUUCAAAAUGAUGUUGCUCCCGGAUUGUGUCCAGGAUGUGUUUGUCCUGGUAU